This 429-nucleotide ribosomal RNA is filed under the name Gemmatimonadota bacterium. RNAcentral describes it as "Gemmatimonadetes bacterium partial 16S ribosomal RNA". It matches the Rfam family "Bacterial small subunit ribosomal RNA", at positions 355 to 776 of the family's 1533-position model. The record is from RNAcentral. Lineage: Bacteria; Pseudomonadati; Gemmatimonadota.
UAGGGAAUCUUCGGCAAUGGACGAAAGUCUGACCGAGCAACGCCGCGUGAGUGAAGAAGGUUUUCGGAUCGUAAAACUCUGUUGUUAGAGAAGAACAAGGACGUUAGUAACUGAACGUCCCCUGACGGUAUCUAACCAGAAAGCCACGGCUAACUACGUGCCAGCAGCCGCGGUAAUACGUAGGUGGCAAGCGUUGUCCGGAUUUAUUGGGCGUAAAGCGAGCGCAGGCGGUUUCUUAAGUCUGAUGUGAAAGCCCACGGCUCGACCGGGGAGGGUCAUUUGAAACUGGGAGACUUGAGUGCAGAAGAGGAGAGUGGAAUUCCAUGUGUAGCGGUGAAAUGCGUAGAUAUAUGGAGGAACACCAGUGGCGAAGGCGGCUCUCUGGUCUGUAACUGACGCUGAGGCUCGAAAGCGUGGAGAGCAAACAGG